Molecule: ribosomal RNA, 495 nt
Filed under: uncultured bacterium
Lineage: Bacteria
Description: partial 16S ribosomal RNA
Rfam family: Bacterial small subunit ribosomal RNA
Source: RNAcentral
UACUAACGCUGGCGGCGUGCCUAAUACAUGCAAGUAGAACGCUGAAGGAGGAGCUUGCUUCUCUGGAUGAGUUGCGAACGGGUGAGUAACGCGUAGGUAACCUGCCUGGUAGCGGGGGAUAACUAUUGGAAACGAUAGCUAAUACCGCAUAAGAGUAGAUGUCGCAUGACAUUUGCUUAAAAGGUGCAAUUGCAUCACUACCAGAUGGACCUGCGUUGUAUUAGCUAGUUGGUGAGGUAACGGCUCACCAAGGCAACGAUACAUAGCCGACCUGAGAGGGUGAUCGGCCACACUGGGACUGAGACACGGCCCAGACUCCUACGGGAGGCAGCAGUAGGGAAUCUUCGGCAAUGGACGGAAGUCUGACCGAGCAACGCCGCGUGAGUGAAGAAGGUUUUCGGAUCGUAAAGCUCUGUUGUAAGAGAAGAACGAGUGUGAGAGUGGAAAGUUCACACUGUGACGGUAUCUUACCAGAAAGGGACGGCUAACUACGUG